This 120-nucleotide ribosomal RNA is filed under the name Lepisosteus oculatus (spotted gar). The record is from RNAcentral. Lineage: Eukaryota; Metazoa; Chordata; Actinopteri; Semionotiformes; Lepisosteidae.
GCCAGCAGCCAUAUCACUCUGCAACUCACAACUGGCAGUCCACUGAAGCUCAGCAGGUGUGAGCCUGGUCAGUACCUGGAUGGAAGACCUCCUGGGGAAAAACUAAGGUUGCUGCUGGAA